UACCUGUUUUAAACUGUUUCUAUCAAUCAUUUAAAUGCUUUGUUUUAUAUUUUUGUAAAUUGUUGCAAGGGUUGUUGUUAUUUUACAAUCAAGCAGUAUAUAAAUUUGAUUAAAUAAAUAAAUGUGUCGCAGAAGCUUUGAGAGACAGUGCCUUUUAUACUUUUAUUCAAGAAAGCAGGGCACCAUGGAUUUGAUGAAGUAAGUGAUUAGGUCAGUGUAAGGUAAAGGUAAAGGUAAAGGAUCCCUGGGCAGUUAAGUCCAGUCAAAGGCAACUAUGGGGUGCAGUGCUCUCAGUGGAGAAGAACACCAUGUUACAGUACGACAUAAGUUCCAUGACCAGGGCCUUUUUCAGAUGGAACUCCCUGGAACUCAGUACCAGCACCUCUCAGGUGGGUACCAUUGCCAUUUUAAGAGAACAAAGAAGGUAUUCAUGGUGAGUUCCAGCAACUCUUUUUCUAGAAAAAUAGCCCUGUUCACAGCCAUCUUCAGAAAGAUUACUUUAUGCUAGCUGGUGAAUCUUCAUGCAUUUAGCUUGUCUUGUGGUGUAUCUAGAGCAUUGGUUAUGGUCUUGUGCUGGUCCCGGGGGGAGGUUACCAUGAGGCGUGGUCAGAGUCCGGUCCUGGGUCGAGGGUCUGGAGACUGUCCACCAAGGGCGAAGCGGAGUCCAAAGCAAGAAGCCAGGCGAGGUCAGGAACUCUGGAAGAACAGGUCUGGGUGCUGGCAGAAACAGGUUUCCAACGACGUUGCUCCGACCUUGAGGUCAUAAUAGCCCAUGGAAGAUGUUGAUCCAAUGUGAUGCAGUGGUGAAGAAGAGAAAUUCCAUGUUGGGAUCAUUAGAAAACGAAUUGAAAAUGAAACUUCUGAAAGCAUAAUGUGAUAAUGCCAUUAUAUACAUCUAUGCUGUGAUAGAAUCUAUGGUAGCAUGAGACUGAUGUUUAAAAAUAAAAUAAAAAUGGCCUCAUUAUAGUACUUUUAUUUACAAAGACCUAAGAGGGGACACUCUUAAAUGCAAGACUUAUACUAAGUAUGAAUCUGACAUAAUACUAUGCAUUUACAGCAAUAAAAUGUUACAAUGAAGAUAUAACAGACAGUGUUUCAAACUAAUCAUUCCAUUUGCAGACGUGUGCAGGUCAUGAAUAGGCUCAAAAUAUUAUCUAUCCACAUAUUCAACUCUUUUGUUCAGCACUGUGUGUUGGGUUGUAAUUCAUUGUGCCUGUAGCUUAUUUUAGUACUUGUACACAGAAUAACUCAUUAGCACUGAAGUAAAUGUUACCAUUAGCACACUUUAUUCAAAAAUAACAAACUACCAUAGAGAAGCUGAAUGGCAGGCACGCAAAUAACCACUAAUUUUUUUCAUGUUAAAUGUAUUGUCAACUUGAAUACCUUCAUUUGUUGCUGUGGUGUCCUCCUAGUAGAAUUCAUCACGCAAUGUGCCUUCAUCAUCACCAGUGCUGCCCCCCACCUCCACCCCAGUAUCAUUGUCAUUACUGGAAGCAUGUCUGGUAAAGUUCCAUGCCACCGCUUCUUCUUCUUCUUCUUCCUCCUCCACCACCUCCUCCUCCUCCUCCUCCUCUGGUAUUAGCUGAAGUUUGUCUGGAAUCCAUGUGUACAUCAAGUAUGAAUUAGUAUUCUGGUAGGCCAUGUCAUACCUGAAUUGCUCUUAUGCUCUCCAUUGCAGCCUGCAGCUAUCUAAAGUGCACACAGAUUAUUCUUGCUAGCUUUGUUCUUGCUAGCUAACCAGUACUUUUCUCACUCUUACAGAGGCAAAGCAGAAUGAACACCCAGAAGUGGGCAGUGUUCAAUGCAUUGCACAUGAUUCGUGCUGCUUAGUCUCACAGGUUUAAAGAAAUUGCAACCAUUAUCGGUAGUGAUACAGCCCUCCACUAAAAUCAAUGAAGUCACCCAGUCAUCUAUCACUUCCUGCAACUGUCUGGAUAUAUUGUCACCAUUGUGUGUUCCAGAAAACAAUCUGUCACUGUUGCAAUUUUGUUUUUGGUUUUUUGUUAAUAAUGACAGGAAUCAAUGAAGUUGCACUCCAAUGCAGAGGUAUGAUUUCAUCUGGUUACCAAUCCAAAAGUCACUUGUGAAGUAGACUGCUUUCUCAUCUGAUUUCCUUAAUGCAUUUUCUAUUCCUCUUUUGUUCUGUGCUCUGUGACAGGCCCAACAAUAUACUGACUGCUUAGUAGUUAUACGAAAUUGGAGCCAAAGUGUGCUUACAAACUUCUUAAAAUCUUUGAUUUCCAAAAUGUUGAAGGGCAACAUUGAACUAGCAAUGCAUUCUGUUCAGUUUUGCGGCUUCCAGGCUGUGUGGCUUAUCUAUUUUUUUCUGCUUCAAAUAUAUAUGAUUGCUGAUCUGCUGAUUUGUGUUCUUAUUCACUGAUAACAUCUCUGACUGUUUCAAUCUUAUCCACACUAGAACAUGAUCAGGGAGUCAGCCCUGCUGUAGUUGAUUUGGUGAAGGGGCAAUCAUUGGCAAUUUAGCAUGCAGCUUAACCAGAAUCCAGUUGCAUUUAUCUUCACUGGACCUAGACUUCUUGUCAUUAGUUAUACUGGAAUUUCCCAUGAGCCAGGUCUCUGAAUUAGGAAGCACCUCUGGCAGGUUGUCACUGGUGGUUUCAUCUUUCCACAUUCCAUUAACUGUUCCUCUGUGGUCAAAGUAUCCAGUGUCUUCACUAUUCCUCCUCUGGGCCUUUUCGUUUGGCUGGUUUUAUGACAUCCUGUUAGCUUCUUCGGUGCCUGUUGGUUUUUUCACUGGUAGCACAACUUUUAAUCUCUUCUUUAGCCUUAUUAAAUAAAAGAUCAUGCUCACCCAGCCACACCACAUUUUGUUACAAUAUUUUCUCAUGGUGAUAGAGAACGCUUGCAGAGAACAUGACCACACAGUUGUGUGGCAAGGUCCUGACCCCCCCCCCCACGAGGUUGAAUAAAGACACUUGACACCAGUAUUUUAGGUUAAUGGGCUUAAAAAGGCCACAACUUUUUUGGUUGCAGAUUGUGAGUGGUAUUGGCUUAGGCUAACCAACUAUAUCUGACUCCCGCCCGUCUGCACAGAGUCUGUGCCGGGUUAACCACCAGUAGGGAGAGUCCUGCUGAUGCACAUCAACUAGGAGCUCCCCCGGGGCCACCGAUAGGGGUCAUGCCUUAGGCCCUAGCCUGCCCAGGCUUCGGACAGGGCCACACCCCCAGAAUCCUUUAAUGGAAUGCCCUUCAAUGUGCGGGGGAGGUGAUGGCGCUACCUCCCCAUCUCUCUUCUCCAGCAAUAUUCCAAUGCCUAACUGCCAAACCUUACAAAGUUGUGACAAUUUGCUAUGAGGUAGGCGAAAACCAAGUGGUGGAGCCAAUUUGCCAAGUGGAAAAAGUCCUACCAGGCCCCUCAAUGGCGACCAACCAGAGUCCAUAGCAAGGUCAAGAGAUGAAAUAACCUAAAGGGUGGGAGGGUAGGAAAACCAGAGCAGCUGGAAGUGUGAAAAGGGGUGAGGUUCCCGCUGGGUCCUGCUUAAGUCAAGCAAGCCGCACCCCCAGGGCAAUUGGCUUGGUUGCCUGGGCAGUGACACAGGCAGGAAUACCCCCAAUCACGCAGGGCUGACCACACGCCUGUGCACUUGAAGGGUUCGUGAGUGCCCACAACUCCAUCUCCUCCUAAGGCAGAAGUGGCUUUGAAGAACCGCCCAGCAAAACAAGGUGAGGCAGUGCAUACACACAUGAACUGAGUGCAAGUUGAAGUUAGAUCUAUUUGCUUUAUCUGUUUAACUGUGGAAUGGGAAAAAUUGGAUUAAAUGAGAGAAAGCGAUCAGGCAACACAGCUUCAUUUGUUGUUAAUAUUUAUGCUUUGGUGCAACAAUGAAGAUGUGGGAUGGGACAUGGAGCUUUGCAAAAAAUGUAUAAUGCUCUUAUCCAUUUUUCUGUAUACAGCCAUGCAAAAAUGUUUGUAACACGCUAAAGACAUUAUUGAUGAUCUGUCAGAUGUCUGUGCACUGAGAUCUUUUGGUUCUAAUAAUUAAUAUUAACUUAAUAUUAAGUUUAAAAUCAUGUAAGCUCAACAAAGGGCCACAAAGGGCCAAUGUGAGCAUCCCUCACACACAAGAACAGUCACCAUGUAAACUGGUCAAGGGGUGCACAUGAAAAACAUAUUGAAAGCCAAUCAUGUACUAUUGAUUAAAGGAAACAUGUCCAAAUAAAAUAUUAUGGGUAGAAUUCAAUGUAGUGCUAAGGAGAUCACUCCAUCAUUCUGCUUGCCUGAUGUGAAAAGGCCUGUGUGAAAAGGUUGUGUUAGUGGGAGUCCUGGUGCGAGCUUCCACUAGCAGGACUCAUUAUUUGAAUCUGGCCAUAUGUACUGUGAAAAAGAAUUCCUGGAUAUUUACAAUAAUAUGUUUCCCAGUGGGAAAGAAAAGGUGUACUUUUCAUACUGCAGUCAGAUGCUUCAGGGAAGACAAGGGUGAAAUAAAGGCAAGAAAAAGGAGUUUAGGUUGCAGAACAAAGAAUCAAAAGGGGUGAGAAACAGACACAAUGACUGUAGCAGCAGGAGGACUAGGCAGAGCCAACAGCCAUGAGUUGUGCAGUGGUGCUGUUGCACAUCUGGCUUCCCAAUACAGAGCAUGACUGUUGAUUACUGAGAGGGACACUGGAAGGGGCAAGACACAGGGAGCUCAGCCCAGGUGCAAUGGCACAUACAACCAGAUGCUCCUGCCACUGUGCUUGCAUCAUGCUGAGCUCCCCAUGCCUUGCCCCUCCACCCCUCAGUAACCAGCAGUGACACUCAACAUUGGGAAACCAAGUGUGCAGUGCCAACGUGCCUGCACCACCCUAACCAUUGCUGGGCAGAGCUAACUCUGGAAAGCAAUAUUUACAAUAUUUUUUGAUAGGACAGAGUCUACAACAUAGGGAAGGAUCACACAGUGGAAACAGCCAGUGAGAGAAUGGAUGGGAACGUGAAUGAUGCAUAACAUCUUGCUGUACAUUAUGAUGCUACAACUUGUUCCCAGCAUUAAACUUGUAAAUGUGCAUAUGCAGGAAUUGAUUCUUGCAUGAAACUAAAUCAUUUAUAUGUCAUUCUGCAUGUUAUGAACAACAUAUAGUAAUUUCUUCAUGCACAUUAUUUUGUCAUCACAAAGAACCCACAAAGGACCUCGUCCAAACAUUAAUUUAAUCGGACAUGCUCUAAAAAUGUACAUACAACUUCAUUUUGGCACAUUAUGUGCAAUGUAUAGCAAGUUAUAAUUCACCAACCAGGAAAUUUAUCAGUCAGUUCACAAAAAAAUGAUUUCCCACUUCCAAGACACAGCAAAGUAUAGAGAAUUUCAGUUGACUGAUGGGACAGCACAGGACUGAUCUGCCCAUCAUUACUUUUUUAUAUCACAAAACUCAAUUUACUUCAUCCAGAUCUAUACAUAAAGCAUACCAGAGAGGCAGCAGAGACAUCCUGUCAAAUUCAACUCCUCAAAUAAAACGUACUAGACGAUGAACCAUUAAUGGCUGCAUUAGCUUCUGGUGAGAUAAAAUUCAUUCCAAUCAAUCUCCUAAUGAGACCAGUCUCAAAAACAUUUACAGUAUAAUCAAUAUAUUUCCAAUUGAAUCUAUCAAUAGCCUUUUUUUUUUUAACUUAACAGAAAAGACCAAGAUCUGGAAACGGAAUAGCUUUGAAUUUGACUAUAAAAUGGUUUCAGUAACUCACCUAAUAUUAAUCAGUCAUUCCCUUGACCAAAAUAAAUCCGUCUGAUUGACAUAAUUAUAAUUAGCUAUGAAAGAGUUUAGAUGAUUAGGAAAAAUAAUUAACUUCGAAAUGCUGUUUCAAUAAUAAAAGAAUCCAAUAGGAUGAUUCUCAUCUGAUAGGAUAGUGCUUACCAGGCUAUUCAAUGUUCAGGAGUGAAUUAAAGCACCUUAAUGCUAUUUGACAAAAGAUAUAGAAACACAUGAUUUGCGAAUAUUUAGCAAAGUUGGCUUUAGGAGUUUGCAUAACCAGGUGUCUGCCAAGGCCUUUGCUGAUGCCACCGGGCCCAUUGCUCCUUCUCAGGCCACUGCAGUGGGAGUCUUGUUAGAAUAAAGUUAUAUACUCAAACAAAAAAGUAGCCAGCUUAACCAUCUGAGUUCCUGGCCUGCCUCCCCUCCCCCCCCCCCCGCUGCCACUGCACAGGCCUGCUCCUUCCCCUUGCUGUCACUUAUAGCUCUGAGUGAGCAAUCAAGGAGAUUAGAACAGGAUCAAGGAGAAGCAGCAGCCCCCCCCCCCACUUUCCUGGCUCCUUCCCUAUACACACUGGUGUGGAAUGGGACCAGAGGACCUGGGCAGGUACUGAUGAGAGAACCCACUGAGGCAGACACAUCUCAGCAGGUGGGGUUGAGCCACCACACUAGGUUCUCAGCAGAUGGGUUGCUGCUGCUUACCAGGAGGGAGAGGGGUAGAGGCAAAGUGGCGAGGUGGUUGGCUCAGGCACACCAGCAGGAAUGCCAGAUUGGCUCCACCGGUGCAUUUGCACUGUGCCAAUCUUCCCUACUACCUCCCACACUCACUUCCAGUAAGCAUCAGUGACCCACCUGAUGGGAAACUGGCACAGCAACUCUGCCCCACCCAAUGAGCCACUUCUGCACUGAGGACAUCUUGCCCAAAGACCCCUGAAUCAGGUGCUGGAUCUGUCUGGUAAAUAGAAUUGUUGAUGAUAAAUCUUAAACUCUGAAGCAAUUUUCAGUUACAUGGUAGCUAAUGGUUUCCUAUUUUUUUCUUUUUUAAAAAAUUGAGAUAUACAAUGUUCAAAUUUUAACUUUACUAGCAAAUUAAAAACAUUUAAAAAUAUUUCAUUGAAAUUCUCAAAAAGGGGUGUGUGUGUGCCUUUCUGUGCCCUAAAAUGCUUCAUGCUUCCACUUUAGUUUAUAUUUUUCUUCCAGUUUCUUGGUUUCUUUUAGGCAAUUGCUUCUAUUUCUUUAACAAAAUUCCUAUUUGGUUAAGGUCUUUUCUGCCUCCCUCCCAAACUUUGGACCUUGUGUAUUGUUAUUAUGAAAAUCUUAACCUCUUUGAUAAUUCUCCUUCUGAAAGAUGGUCAUUUAAAAUGAUAUUGUUCAAUCACCAUGGGAUCUUCUCAACCUAUUAUUUUCAUGCUGGCACCAAUGACAACAGAAAACACAAAAGAAGACCUUGGUUAUUUUUCAGGUUUCUCAUUUUCCAGAUCUACCCUUUCCGGUGUCUUAAACAUCCAUAAAAAAGUUUAUUCUUGAAAAAGAAGAAUGAUCCUGAUGAGUAAAAAGUAUAACCAUUGAGUUAUGGAUAUAGCUGCGCGUAUCUUUUCUGUUAUACUCAGUUAUCUAACUUGAUUUCAAAAAGAAUUAGGUAAUAAAAGUGCUAAAUAGACCCAGUUCCAUAAAAUUUACUUUGUUCUUCAUUCUAAACAGCACUGGAGCCCUCCACUAAUAUGAUUGUUUCAUCAAAGAAUUUCUCAAGCUCCUUAAAUAAUAUUUUAUAAAAAGCGUGCAGACCAAAAUCUGAGGCAUCAGUGGAUCUAAGUAUGAUUAGUAUGAGCACAAGAUUAGAAGUAUGAGUAGAAGUUAAUACCAGUUCCCUUUUGCUUCUCAAAAUUCAUCCCUUAUUGAAAAGAAGAAACUUGAACUGAUAAUUGCCACUCCACAAUUCCUUUUAUUCAGCUGAGAGGAGAAACAGUAACAAGUCCUUGAAUGCUUAAACAUAUUUUCCAUCUUUUUGAUAACAAAUGUGUCUCCUACAAAAUACAGACAAAUUAUACUGCAGAUAAGAUCUCAGUUCAGCGCUACACAAAUUAUACUAAAUAGUUAUGUAUUAACUCUAAAUAAGUCAUUCUAUAGGUAACGUUUCAAUCAAUAAAUGGUUUU
Molecule: non-coding RNA, 7830 nt
Organism: Podarcis lilfordi (Lilford's wall lizard)
Lineage: Eukaryota; Metazoa; Chordata; Lepidosauria; Squamata; Lacertidae
Source: the annotation of a GenBank genome assembly